Molecule: small nucleolar RNA, 91 nt
Filed under: Betta splendens (Siamese fighting fish)
Lineage: Eukaryota; Metazoa; Chordata; Actinopteri; Anabantiformes; Osphronemidae
Description: Small nucleolar SNORD12/SNORD106 (ENSBSLG00000017362.1)
Rfam family: Small nucleolar SNORD12/SNORD106
About the family: This family belong to the C/D class of snoRNA which contain the C (UGAUGA) and D (CUGA) box motifs. This family includes the human ortholog of mouse snoRNA HBII-99 and human snoRNA U106. In humans both HB11-99 and U106 snoRNAs share the same host gene.
Source: Rfam by way of RNAcentral
AACGUGGUUAAUGAUGCUGAACUUUUUUCCCCAUCUUAUCGACCAUGGAGAAUUCACACUGAAACUAAGCCAGUUUGUCUGAAGCCACGUU